Molecule: transfer RNA, 66 nt
Filed under: Omadius sp.
Lineage: Eukaryota; Metazoa; Arthropoda; Insecta; Coleoptera; Cleridae
Description: tRNA-Phe
Source: RNAcentral
AUUUAAGUAGCUUAUAUUAGAGUUUAAUAUUGAAGAUAUUAAGGAAAUUGUUUAAAUUCUUAAAUA